GUCGCUGAAAGCGCCCGCUGUGCUAGCUAGUCACCUCUCCACUCUUGUAAAUCUUUUUGUUAUUUAUAUGUGAGUCUCUUCUACUCAUCAACUGUCCAUUUACCUGUCCUAAACAUGACACGCAAACGGGCAAAAUUGUCGUUUCAACAACGUACGGACAGCAGGUCCAACCACCACUGCUGUGUUGCCAUUCUGCACUGCAUCGACGAAGACCAAUUCUUACCUGAGCUUCCACACCUUUCCAAAGGACUCCGUAUUGCAGAAGCAAUGGGCUGUUAAGAUCAGGAGAGAUCAUUUUAUCGUCACCAAUACUUCCCGAGUGUGCUCACGACAUUUUGUUACUGCUGAUGUGAUCGAGUCUCCCACUCCUGCUGGACGUCGACGACUGCAACCUGGAGCUGUUCCUGGGCUUUUUCAUUGGAAUAACUAUAAUAUUCCAACACCACGACUUGGAUUAUGGGAAAGAACAGAGCGUCCACCGAAGUAACAGAGAUGCAGACUGACCCUGAUGAAGAUGACCCAGGGUCCUGUCAUGAACAUGACUACUGCACCAGUACUGAGCCUGCUGACCUUCAUCUCUCCCUCAACGAAGACGAGGAGAUCUCAAAGCUCUGAAAACAGAUAGAGGACUUGACCGUCAGCAGCAAGUUCUGUUUGGAGAGGUUUUCUGCGUCUGAUGAGGACAUACGAUUCUUUACCAGAUUUGCAAGUCAUGCCCACCUGAUGGGUUUUUGGAAGCAAAUAGAGCCUGCCACCCUCAACAUUAUAUGGGUUACAAGGGCACAGAGCUUCACAAAGACUGAUCAAGUCCUUCACUCUGCCAGUAGGUUCUUCAACCAAUUGACGAGUUCUUCCUGUUCAUGAACUACUUGUCAUUGGGACUGAUGCAAAAGGAUUUGACCCAUAGAUUUAGAAUACAUCGGUCAACUGUGAGUCGCAUCGUUAACACCUGGGCCAACUUCCUUUAUACUGUAUUGGGAGCUGUGAAUAUUUGGCUAGAUGAAGACACUGUAAAAGCUCACCUCCCAGAUGUGUUUCAGGACUAUGCUGACACUCAAGUCAUUUUAGAUUGCACAGAACUGCGAUGUCAAACCCCAAACUCCCUUCUCCUCCAGAGUGAGGCGUUUUCCACCUAUAAAUCACACUGCACAUUCAAAGGGUUGAUUGGGAUAGCCCCUCAUGGUGCAGUGACCUGUGUCUUAAAAUAAUAAAAUAAUGUGUAUAGUUCUUAUCUGUGUAGAGACUUGCAUCUCUAACAUCAAAAAGAUCCUUUUAGGUCAUGCACUGUACUGUAAAUAUAGUUUGUGUUAAGAUACAUUGGAAUUUCAUAACUUGUAUGAAAUGCUUUUACUUUAAUGUUAAAAUUGAGAUUACAUAAUACAACACUGUAUUUUUUGUACUUUUACUGAAUAUGUAAAAAUGAAAUGAAUACAGUAGUAAUAUUAUUGUCAGAAUAAAAUGAUAAAUGUUUUUUAAUUGUU
Girardinichthys multiradiatus is the source of this 1481-nucleotide long non-coding RNA. RefSeq lists it as uncharacterized. The record is from RefSeq and is a predicted model, not a curated record. Lineage: Eukaryota; Metazoa; Chordata; Actinopteri; Cyprinodontiformes; Goodeidae. The transcript has 3 exons.